This 343-nucleotide long non-coding RNA is filed under the name Medicago truncatula (barrel medic). RNAcentral describes it as "lncRNA gene10409". Lineage: Eukaryota; Viridiplantae; Streptophyta; Magnoliopsida; Fabales; Fabaceae. The record is from RNAcentral.
GAGCAAUUCAACUCCUCAUUCUAUCUAUGCACUCUGGCUCGGCAUGCCGACGUCGUGUUCCCUCCAUUUUGUGCGUCUGCGUGUCAUCUCCUCGGUGUUGUAGCCGCUCCUUUGCCUUCGUUGUCUCCGUUCCUUUGUCAUCAUGUCGUCGUUGUUUGAAUUUUUAUGCAAAUAUUAUGAAUUGAAAGCAACAAAGAAAGUUUGAUGAUUAUUUUUCUGGUUUUUGCUGCUAUGUGCAUGUUGUUGAUUUUAUAGUUUUUGUACUAGAUUGCGUUGUCUUUCACUUCAUGUCAGUGCUGAAAAUGAUAAAAUAUACAUAAUAAUAUAAUGAGUUCGAAUGAAC